GCCAUACCGCGUGGGUGAAGAAGGCCUUCGGGUUGUAAAGCCCUUUUGUUGGGAAAGAAAAGCAGUCGGCUAAUACCCGGUUGUUCUGACGGUACCCAAAGAAUAAGCACCGGCUAACUUCGUGCCAGCAGCCGCGGUAAUACGAAGGGUGCAAGCGUUACUCGGAAUUACUGGGCGUAAAGCGUGCGUAGGUGGUUGUUUAAGUCUGUUGUGAAAGCCCUGGGCUCAACCUGGGAAUUGCAGUGGAUACUGGGCGACUAGAGUGUGGUAGAGGGUAGUGGAAUUCCCGGUGUAGCAGUGAAAUGCGUAAAGAUCGGGAGGAACAUCCAUGGCGAAGGCAGCUACCUGGACCAACACUGACACUGAGGCACGAAAGCGUGGGGAGCAAACAGGAUUAGAUACCCUGGUAGUCCACGCCCUAAACGAUGCGAACUGGAUGUUGGGUGCAAUUUGGCACGCAGUAUCGAAGCUAACGCGUUAAGUUCGCCGCCUGGGGAGUACGGUCGCAAGACUGAAACUCAAAGGAAUUGACGGGGGCCCGCACAAGCGGUGGAGUAUGUGGUUUAAUUCGAUGCAACGCGAAGAACCUUACCUGGUCUUGACAUGUCGAGAACUUUCCAGA
This 622-nucleotide ribosomal RNA is filed under the name Stenotrophomonas sp. So2Pt_56. RNAcentral's name for it is "bacterial SSU rRNA". It matches the Rfam family "Bacterial small subunit ribosomal RNA", at positions 391 to 1004 of the family's 1533-position model. The record is from RNAcentral. Lineage: Bacteria; Pseudomonadati; Pseudomonadota; Gammaproteobacteria; Lysobacterales; Lysobacteraceae.